Molecule: ribosomal RNA, 892 nt
Filed under: uncultured bacterium
Lineage: Bacteria
Description: bacterial SSU rRNA
Rfam family: Bacterial small subunit ribosomal RNA
Source: RNAcentral
AGAGUUUGAUCAUGGCUCAGGAUGAACGCUGGCGGCGUGCCUAAUACAUGCAAGUCGAGCGAACCACUUCGGUGGUGAGCGGCGAACGGGUGAGUAACACGUAGGUGAUCUGCCCAUCAGACGGGGACAACGAUUGGAAACGAUCGCUAAUACCGGAUAGGACGAAAGUUUAAAGGUGCUUCUGGCACCGCUGAUGGAUGAGCCUGCGGCGCAUUAGCUAGUUGGUAGGGUAAAGGCCUACCAAGGCGACGAUGCGUAGCCGACCUGAGAGGGUGAACGGCCACGCUGGGACUGAGACACGGCCCAGACUCCUACGGGAGGCAGCAGUAGGGAAUCUUCGGCAAUGGGCGAAAGCCUGACCGAGCAACGCCGCGUGAAUGAUGAAGGCCUUCGGGUUGUAAAAUUCUGUUAUAAGGGAAGAACGACUUUAGUAGGAAAUGGCUAGAGUGUGACGGUACCUUAUGAGAAAGCCACGGCUAACUACGUGCCAGCAGCCGCGGUAAUACGUAGGUGGCGAGCGUUAUCCGGAAUUAUUGGGCGUAAAGAGCGCGCAGGUGGUUGAUUAAGUCUGAUGUGAAAGCCCACGGCUUAACCGUGGAGGGUCAUUGGAAACUGGUCGACUUGAGUGCAGAAGAGGGAAGUGGAAUUCCAUGUGUAGCGGUGAAAUGCGUAGGGAUAUGGAGGAACACCAGUGGCGAAAGCGGCUUCCUGGUCUGUAACUGACACUGAGGCGCGAAAGCGUGGGAGCAAACAGGAUUAGAUACCCUGGUAGUCCACGCCGUAAACGAUGAGUGCUAAGUGUUGGGGGUCGAACCUCAGUGCUGAAGUUAACGCAUUAAGCACUCCGCCUGGGGAGUACGGUCGCAAGACUGAAACUCAAAGGAAUUGACGG